AGGCAAAUGACUGAUGGACCAAGACAAUGUAAUAUUUCCUCAGUACAAAGCCAAGUGUGACCAGCUGCUUCUACCAACCAGCAGACAAUUACAUGAAGGCGCAAGACAAUGUAACAUUCUCUUGGUACAAAACCAAGUGUGAUCAGUUCCUUCUAACAUACAGCAGCACUGUGGAAUAUAACGUG
This is a non-coding RNA of Chiloscyllium plagiosum (whitespotted bambooshark), 185 nucleotides long. The record is from RefSeq and is a predicted model, not a curated record. Lineage: Eukaryota; Metazoa; Chordata; Chondrichthyes; Orectolobiformes; Hemiscylliidae.